GGAGGAGUACGCCUAAUUGGUAAGGCACUGGUUUGGAGUACCAGCGGGUUUCAAAGCCCUUGCAGGUUCGAGUCCUGUCUCCUCCG
Molecule: transfer RNA, 86 nt
Filed under: Candidatus Portnoybacteria bacterium RIFCSPHIGHO2_12_FULL_40_11
Lineage: Bacteria; Candidatus Portnoyibacteriota
Description: tRNA-Ser
Rfam family: tRNA
About the family: Transfer RNA (tRNA) molecules are approximately 80 nucleotides in length. Their secondary structure includes four short double-helical elements and three loops (D, anti-codon, and T loops).
Source: RNAcentral